GAGUAGCGCAAGGGUGCGUAACACGUGGGUAAUUUGCCGUGAAGUUGGGGAUAACUCGCUGAAAGGCGAGCUAAUACCGGAUGUGAAGUUCGGGUGGCAUCACCUGACCUUUAAAGCUGGGGAUCGUAAGACCUGGCGCUUCAUGAUAAGCCCGCGGCCUAUCAGCUAGUUGGUGAGGUAACGGCUCACCAAGGCUAAGACGGGUAGCUGGUCUGAGAGGACGACCAGCCACACUGGAACUGAGACACGGUCCAGACACCUACGGGUGGCAGCAGUCGAGAAUUUUUCUCAAUGGGCGCAAGCCUGAAGGAGCGACGCCGCGUGGGGGAUGAAGGGUUUCGAUCCGUAAACCCCUGUCAUUUGUGAACAAUGGUUAUUGUUUAAGAGAUGAUAACUUGAUAGUAAUGAAAGAGGAAGGGACGGCUAACUCUGUGCCAGCAGCCGCGGUAAUACAGAGGUCCCGAGCGUUGUUCGGAUUCACUGGGCGUAAAGGGUGCGUAGGUGGCAUGGCAAGUUUGAUGUGAAAGCUCAGGGCUUAACCCUGAAAUGGCAUUGAAUACUGCUGUGCUGGAGGUUUGGAGGGGGGACUGGAAUUCUUGGUGUAGCAGUGAAAUGCGUAGAUAUCAAGAGGAACACCAGUGGCGAAGGCGAGUCCCUGGACAACACC
RNAcentral lists this ribosomal RNA (667 nucleotides) under uncultured bacterium. Its description in RNAcentral is "bacterial SSU rRNA". It matches the Rfam family "Bacterial small subunit ribosomal RNA", at positions 93 to 740 of the family's 1533-position model. The record is from RNAcentral.